AUUGAACGCUGGCGGCAGGCCUAACACAUGCAAGUCGAACGCAGUGGGGACGGGUGAGUAACACGUGGGUAACCUCCCAUCAGAGGGGAUAACACUUGGAAACAGGUGCUAAACCGAUACUGAUGGAUGGACCCGCGGUGGAUUAGCUAGUUGGUGAGGUAACGGCGCACCAAGGCUACGAUGCAUAGCCGGCCUGAGAGGAUGAUCGGCCACACUGGGACUGAGACACGGCCCAGACUCCUACGGGAGGCAGCAGUGGGGAAUCUUCGGCAAUGGGCGAAAGUCUGACCGAGCAACGCCGCGUGAGUGAAGAAGGUUUGCGGAUCGUAAAACUCUGUUGUUAGAGAAGCGGUAUCUAACCAGAAAGCCACGGCUAACUACGUGCCAGCAGCCGCGGUAAUAC
RNAcentral lists this ribosomal RNA (403 nucleotides) under uncultured bacterium. RNAcentral's name for it is "partial 16S ribosomal RNA". It matches the Rfam family "Bacterial small subunit ribosomal RNA", at positions 30 to 526 of the family's 1533-position model. The record is from RNAcentral.